Long non-coding RNA from Homo sapiens (human), 2117 nucleotides. RefSeq lists it as uncharacterized. The record is from RefSeq and is a predicted model, not a curated record. The transcript has 2 exons. Lineage: Eukaryota; Metazoa; Chordata; Mammalia; Primates; Hominidae.
GCCUGGUACCAUUUGAGCUCUCAACUGUUGCCUGAGAGCUACAAGUUGCGUGAGAGCUGCAAGAGUGAAAAUUCACUCCUCCUUGUGUCUCGUGAAGGAAACACACACUGAUAUGGUUUGGCUUUGUGUCCCCACCCAAAUCUCACCUCGAAUUGUAAUCUUCACUUGUCGAGGGAAGGAGGUGACUGGAUCAUGGCAGCGGUUCCCCUCUGCUGUUCUUGGGAUAGUGAGUUCUCACAAGACCUAAUGGUUUUAUAAGGCAGUUUUCCCUGCUCUCGCUUGCUCUCUCUCCUGCCACCCUGUGAAGAGGUGCCUGCUUCCCCUUCUGCCAUGAUUGUAUGUUUCCCAGCCAUGUGGAGGUGUGAGUGAAUUAGACCUCUUUCUUUUAUAAACUACCCAGUCUCAGGUAUUUCUUUACAGCAGUGUAAGAACUGACUAGUAAACACACACAUACCAAAAAAUCUGUUAAUUACAGGUUAAAAUUCUCCAUUCUGUGAUGGAUUUAAAAUAUAAGCUAUUUAUCUUAUGAGUCGAAGUUAUCUCAACCUAAGUCAGCAUUUUCCCUGAAGUUCCCCUUCCCAAACAUGCCUUCUUAUGCUACCCCACAGGGUGGCCAGCUCUGGCCAGCCCGCUGCACUCAAUCUCCAACAGCUAUAUGGCUCAUUCAGCAGAGAUCGAUGUUUUCCUCCCAUAUGAACAGGAGCUCCUGAGAUUCCUCCAAAUUAGGGUUAGCAAACAGUGGCCUAUGGACUACCACCUGUUUUUUGUCAGUAAAGUUUUAUUGGAACAUAGCCAUGUCCUGUCAUUUAGAUACUGUCUAAGGCUGCUUUUGAGCCAUCCUGGCAGAGCUGAGUAAUUGUUAACAUGGACUGUGACGCUUUAGGCCCGUAGAGCUUAAAAUAUUUACUAUCUGGCCCUUUAAGAGUUUGGCCACCCCUGCUCCCCCCUGAAGGUUAUAUGGUUUUUUUUUUUUUUGAGACAGAGUCUCUCUCUGUUGCCCAGGCUGGAAUGCAGUGGCGCAAUCCCAGCUCACUGCAAGCUCCGCCUCCCGGGUUUACGCCAUUCUCCUGCCUCAGCCUCCUGAGUAGCUGGGACUACAGGCGCCCCCCCACCCACCACCAAGCCCGGCUAAUUUUUUUGUAUUUUUUAGUAGAGACGGGGUUUCACCGUGUUAGCCAAGAUGGUCUCAAUCUCCUGACCUCGUGAUCCGCCCGCCUCAGCCUCCCAAAGUGCUGGGAUUACAGGCGUGAGCCCCCGCGCUCGGCCGGUCAUGUGCUUUCUUGGAAGUGAAUGCAUGGAAUGAUGACUCAGAUUAGGACCCACACUGUUCUGGAUGAAGCUGAUCAAAACUCUUAAUGGUUAGCAACCUGGCACAGACCUGCAAUUUCUCAUCCAUGUCGUCAUCACUUUCAUCCAGGUCUUCGUGGAGUAGUCGCCAUUCAUAUUCAACGUGAACGUGAGAAUUAAAUCUUCCAGAUAAGGCUUGGGUCAGCUGAGAGAACAGAGGGAUGGUCAGUGCUGUUGCUCAUACACUCGGCCAUGCAUCUGGACCCACUGAAGUGUGCAGGCAGGAGGCCUGCCUUCUAGUCCAAGGCAAAUGCAUGGAAAUCUCUGGGUCUCAGGUGAAGCCCCCGCCCCUCUGCCUACUUCACAGCGUAACCUUGAAACUCAAAGCUGGUAUGUCCCAGCAAAGGCUUUGUAAACUGUAUUAGUUUUCAUCCACAGUUCCCGGCUCGUAACUCUCAAAUCCCUUGUUACAGUCUUCGGUUAUAACAUGGAGUGUUAAGGCCUCAGGAGACAGAAUCUCUCUGAACUUCUCCUGCCCCAAGGCAGGACUCUUAUCGUCCCCCACUUUUCUGACUGUGGGUCUUAAGGCCCUCCCCAGAGAGGGUCUCACCCUGUACCCUGGGGGAAGAGAUGCUGACACCAAGAAGCUUCCAUAAAAAUCAAAGAGGACUGGUUCUCGAGCUUCAGGAUGGCAAACCACACAGAGGGUCCUGGAGGGUGGCACCCAGGGAGGGCAUGGAACCCCCAUGUCCCCUCCCCCACACCUUGCCCUACGCACCUCUCUAUCUGUAUGCUUUGCAAUAUCCUUUAUAAUAAACCAGUAAACACAA